CCACUGCGCCACCAGGGAAGCCCCAGAUUUUAUAUUCUUGCUCACCCAGACAGUGCCUUUUGGAGGGGGCACAUAGGAAGGCUGUGUGGAAAGAACGGAUGCCUUGCCAGGGUGGCGAGUACUGUGUCUGCCUGAAGGUUUGUGCGUCAGUACCCGGAAGCAGAGAGAAGAUAUUGCAACCCCAGAAAAAGAUACCUGGCUGCUUGGCCUUUCACUGGAGUCCGAGUGAAGGACUGCCCUCUGAGGCAGCGUUGACAUCUAAGGAAAGGCAUUCACAGCACUCUGUGCUGAACUCGGACUGGACCUGGAAACCCAGACAACCCUUCCAAAGCCUUAUCAUCUUCCAGAACGCUUUACACACAGAAGAUAAAAAUGUAGUUCCGUAUAACACCGCGAGAAAACUUUUGCAAAGGUUAUUACAAAGUAUUUAGCAGAGCUCCCUGUGCUAUACGGCAACUCUUCAUCAGCCGCGUGUGGGCUGAGAGGAAGGUUUGGAAUUCUGAGGACUCCCAGGCUUGGAGUGAAUCCACACCACAUCCUUCUCACGGGACCUUCACUGGGUGCAUGGUAGCAGCACCAAGGCCGCUCCAGUGAGCAAAACGUCAUCAACGUGAUGUGGUACCUGAUGUGAUGUUAAGACAUUCAAUUCCCUCUAGUCUGUCUUAGGACCAAAGCAGGAGCGAUGGAUGAUGUAGGGGUGCUGAUGCUCCUGCCACAAGAGAUUGAGUUGUUUCUGAUCAUCUUUACUGACAGAAAUGGGGAAAAUUAUCAAUAUAUGCCAGGUCAACAGCCCUAUACUCGGUGGUAGAGCAAUGUUGAUUUGCUUCAGUAAAGAUACCACAUGUGGAACUACAGUUAUGAUGGACAUGAGCCCCUGAUUAAGUGUGCGAUAACCCACAGUCCUCCUCCAAGACUCAUCUGGGUUUUGUACCAUUCAAACGGGUAAGGCAGAGUGACUUCCCUGGUGGUCCAGUGGUUAAGACUCCGCCUUCCAAUGCAUGGGGUGCAGGUUCAAUCCCUGCUUGGGGAGCUACGAUCCCACAAGCCUUAGAGCCAAAAAAACAAAACAUAAAACAGAAGCAAUAUUGUAACAAAUAAAGACUCCUGUUUUCCUCCUGUUUGUACAAUGUUUUUUAAAAAAUCCCUGUGACAGAGUUCUCCUGGUGUGAACCGCAUGGGUUAUGGCUUCAAUAGCAACCAGAAGUGACAGCUCCUAGGUCCUCAUUGGGAGAAGCUUCCUACGUGGGGGAAAGAGGGCUGGAAGGCAUGAACCCUGAGUGGGAGGAGGGUGCUGCAGCAUCACCGGUGCAGGUGAGGGUCAUGGCAAGGAUGCUGGCCGCCAGAGCCACACUCGGUCUCAGUUACGCUCACCUUUUUGCUGAAGAACAGGGGGAAGCCUGUCCCCUUUCCCUCUCCGAAUCGAUCCAGAGAAGGUGGCCCUGGCCGGCUUGCCACUCUGUAGAGCCUCGAGUUGGCCACCAGGAGGCAGUGCUGUCUCUUCUCAGACGCAAGGGUAGAAGGUCCCGCCUGGAUCGGAGGGAGGAACCUGUCGCCACCCUGGGGUGUUCUGAUCGCAAGCAUUUAAGCGGAGCCUAGAGGAUCCCCACCCCGGCAGGUGGCGAUUGAAGUUUCCCUCCAGAAGGUAUUUGCCUGGUUCACCAGAAAACACCUGACGUUCAAUGCUUUAGUCCAAUGAGUUCCCUGAAGGCAGGGCUACUGCCUCUUCAUCUCUCUCCUAGCAUCCGGCGUGUGCUUAACUGACAAGUCGUCCAGUGAGUGAUUUAAUACAUAAAGCAUCUGACCUUUGUUAAGACGCUGCUUUCGGAGGCAAGCACCAGGUUUCCACGUCGGCCCUCCUACCGGUCUGUCGCUGAGAAAUAACUUCUGUCUGAGCCUCCACUCCCCGUGUGUAACUCACUCGCAGAUGUAAAGUUGAACUCUGCUGAAGGCAGGGACACAGUUACGGAUGCAUGUUUUUGAAAGGAAAAAAUGGUUGUGAAUGUGAAAUUCACGUUUCUUCCUUGACUGUUUUAGACCUUAUAGGGUAGAGUAAAUUUCUUAUGUGAAGGCACCUAGAGAUUUGCCUCAUGGCCCUCAAGGCAUGAUUACCAGGGGGUAAGGGAGAGACGGAUAAAUUGGGAGAUUGGGAUUGACAUAUACACACUACUGUGUAUAAAAUAGGUAACUAAUAAGAACC
Aethalodelphis obliquidens (Pacific white-sided dolphin) is the source of this 2197-nucleotide long non-coding RNA. RefSeq lists it as uncharacterized. The record is from RefSeq and is a predicted model, not a curated record. NCBI's taxonomy places the organism in Eukaryota, Metazoa, Chordata, Mammalia, Artiodactyla, Delphinidae. The transcript has 8 exons.